AUGAACGCUGGCGGCAUGCUUUACACAUGCAAGUCGAACGGUAACAGGCCUUCGGGUGCUGACGAGUGGCGAACGGGUGAGUAAUGCAUCGGAACGUGCCCAGUCGUGGGGGAUAACUGCUCGAAAGAGCAGCUAAUACCGCAUACGAUCUGCGGAUGAAAGCGGGGGACCUUCGGGCCUCGCGCGAUUGGAGCGGCCGAUGUCAGAUUAGGUAGUUGGUGGGGUAAAGGCCUACCAAGCCGACGAUCUGUAGCUGGUCUGAGAGGACGACCAGCCACACUGGGACUGAGACACCGGCCCAGACUCCUACGGGAGGCAGCAGUGGGGAAUUUUGGACAAUGGGCGCAAGCCUGAUCCAGCAAUGCCGCGUGCGGGAAGAAGGCCUUCGGGUUGUAAACCGCUUUUGUACGGAACGAAAAGGCUCUGGCGAAUACCUGGGGCUGAUGACGGUACCGUAAGAAUAAGCACCGGCUAACUACGUGCCAGCAGNCCGCGGUAAU
This 500-nucleotide ribosomal RNA is filed under the name uncultured Hydrogenophaga sp. RNAcentral describes it as "bacterial SSU rRNA". It matches the Rfam family "Bacterial small subunit ribosomal RNA", at positions 29 to 524 of the family's 1533-position model. The record is from RNAcentral. Lineage: Bacteria; Pseudomonadati; Pseudomonadota; Betaproteobacteria; Burkholderiales; Comamonadaceae.